This is a non-coding RNA of Pelobates cultripes (western spadefoot toad), 302 nucleotides long. The record is from the annotation of a GenBank genome assembly. NCBI's taxonomy places the organism in Eukaryota, Metazoa, Chordata, Amphibia, Anura, Pelobatidae.
UGCAGAAGGUCUUGAUGGUAAGGUAUGUCUUUUUGCUGAUGAUACUAAGAUAUGUAACAGGGUUGAUGUUCCAGGAGGGAUAAGCCAAAUGACAAAUGAUUUAGGUAAACUAGAAAAAUGGUCAGAAUUGUGGCAACUGACAUUUAAUGUGGAUAAGUGCAAGAUAAUGCAUCUUGGACGUAAAAACCCAAGGGCAGAGUACAGAAUAUUUGAUAGAGUUCUAACCUCAACAUAUGAGGAAAGAGAUUUAGGGGUGAUUAUUUCUGAUGACUUAAAGGUAGGCAGACAAUGUAAUAGAGCAG